RNAcentral lists this ribosomal RNA (219 nucleotides) under Staphylococcus aureus. Its description in RNAcentral is "partial 23S ribosomal RNA". It matches the Rfam family "Bacterial large subunit ribosomal RNA", at positions 1023 to 1246 of the family's 2925-position model. Lineage: Bacteria; Bacillati; Bacillota; Bacilli; Caryophanales; Staphylococcaceae. The record is from RNAcentral.
CAGCCCAGACCACCAGCUAAGGUCCCAAAAUAUAUGUUAAGUGGAAAAGGAUGUGGCGUUGCCCAGACAACUAGGAUGUUGGCUUAGAAGCAGCCAUCAUUUAAAGAGUGCGUAAUAGCUCACUAGUCGAGUGACACUGCGCCGAAAAUGUACCGGGGCUAAACAUAUUACCGAAGCUGUGGAUUGUCCUUUGGACAAUGGUAGGAGAGCGUUCUAAGG